Molecule: ribosomal RNA, 610 nt
Filed under: uncultured bacterium
Lineage: Bacteria
Description: bacterial SSU rRNA
Rfam family: Bacterial small subunit ribosomal RNA
Source: RNAcentral
GAGUUUGAUCACGGCUCAGGAUGAACGCCGGCGGUGUGCCUAAUACAUGCAAGUCGUACGCACUGGCCCAACUGAUUGAUGGUGCUUGCACCUGAUUGACGAUGGAUUACCAGUGAGUGGCGGACGGGUGAGUAACACGUAGGUAACCUGCCCCGGAGCGGGGGAUAACAUUUGGAAACAGAUGCUAAUACCGCAUAACAACAAAAGCCACAUGGCUUUUGUUUGAAAGAUGGCUUUGGCUAUCACUCUGGGAUGGACCUGCGGUGCAUUAGCUAGUUGGUAAGGUAACGGCUUACCAAGGCGAUGAUGCAUAGCCGAGUUGAGAGACUGAUCGGCCACAAUGGAACUGAGACACGGUCCAUACUCCUACGGGAGGCAGCAGUAGGGAAUCUUCCACAAUGGGCGCAAGCCUGAUGGAGCAACACCGCGUGAGUGAAGAAGGGUUUCGGCUCGUAAAGCUCUGUUGUUGGAGAAGAACGUGCGUGAGAGUAACUGUUCACGCAGUGACGGUAUCCAACCAGAAAGUCACGGCUAACUACGUGCCAGCAGCCGCGGUAAUACGUAGGUGGCAAGCCGUUAUCCCGGAUUUAUUGGGCGUAAAGCGAGCGCA